GCUUCUCUCAACGAAAGUAUGUUCACUUUCC
Molecule: non-coding RNA, 31 nt
Filed under: Mus musculus (house mouse)
Lineage: Eukaryota; Metazoa; Chordata; Mammalia; Rodentia; Muridae
Source: RNAcentral